UACGUAGGUGGCAAGCGUUGUCCGGAUUUAUUGGGUUUAAAGGGUGCGUAGGCGGCUUUGUAAGUCAGUGGUGAAAUAUGGCAGCUCAACUGUCAAGGUGCCAUUGAUACUGCAGAGCUUGAGUACAGAUGAGGUAGGCGGAAUUGACGGUGUAGCGGUGAAAUGCUUAGAUAUCGUCAAGAACACCUAUAGCGAAGGCAGCUUACUAGGCUGUAACUGACGCUGAGGCACGAAAGUGUGGGAUCAAACAGG
This 252-nucleotide ribosomal RNA is filed under the name uncultured bacterium. RNAcentral describes it as "partial 16S ribosomal RNA". It matches the Rfam family "Bacterial small subunit ribosomal RNA", at positions 524 to 776 of the family's 1533-position model. The record is from RNAcentral.